Long non-coding RNA from Acinonyx jubatus (cheetah), 3963 nucleotides. RefSeq lists it as uncharacterized. The record is from RefSeq and is a predicted model, not a curated record. NCBI's taxonomy places the organism in Eukaryota, Metazoa, Chordata, Mammalia, Carnivora, Felidae. The transcript has 4 exons.
ACUAGUGUGAUUCUGUUUUCCCUAACCUGUAUUUUAUUUUGAAAAGGAAAUGCAUGUCCUCUCAAAGGAACAUAUUGAGGAGCCCUGAAAGUUGUCCUAUUUGUUUCUCCCCCCCACCCCCUCUUCAAUUUCACUUUUGAUAAGAAAACCAAACUGGGCACAUUUCUAAUCAGCUUUCCUAUUUUUAUUUUUAAAUUAUGUUUUCCUGUUCAUUUGAUUUGUACAGAUUCUUUAUUAUCAUCGUUCUUUUCCAUAUGUUUGUAUUAAUUUGUAAGAGUAUGCAUCUUAAAAUGGCAAGGUUUCAAUAUUUUUACAACUCACUCGUGGUUUUCUGCAUUCUUUGUACACACAUGAAAGAAAACUUUUAUGCAAGGUCUUGUGUUUCAAGAGAGCUUUGCGAAUAUUUUGUAUAUGACAGUCUCACUCAGAACUGUUUUUUCCACACAUUUAAGGUAUAGUAUUAAUAGGUGAAAACCAGCUUUCUAGAGAGAAUAAACUUGCGUAUUUAUUUUUAGUGAUAUAAAAGUAGCAAUAUUCUUGGAGACUGAUAACCAUAGCGUUAAUACGCCCAUUGUAGUCACUUAAAUUGGGGUUCAUUUCAGCAAACUUGCUGAAUUUUCUUGAAGGAGUGAAAUACUGUGUUGGCAAAUUACUGUUACUUGAUAACAGUGUUUUAACAAGCAGCGACGUUGUAAGUUAGUCUCAGUGCAUUAUCUUGUGUAGUCCUAUGCAAUAAUAGUAUAGUGUUACAUGUAAUCUAUCUGGCCUACGUGUUUUAUACAACUGACAUACGGUGUUAAGAGCCAGGCUGUUGAAUGGAAUUUCUCCGUAGCAGCCUACAAUUGAAUAGCAAGGGGCAUAAAGCAUAUCCAUUCAGAAUGAAGUGCCUUAAAUAUAGCAGUAGUCUUUUUUGGACUAGCACUGACUGAACUGUAAUAUAGGAGACAGUUUCAAGAUGGUAUCUAUAGUCAAGAGGAUCAUGGAGCAUGGUGCCUAUGUAGACAAUAUAAGAGCUUCCAAUUUUCCUUCAGAUAUUUUUAAUAUUAAAUAUAUUUUAGUGACAGAGUGCCAACUUCUUUCAUCAGGAAACCUUAUUCAGGAGGUUGUUUUUUUUUUUUUUUUUUUUAAAGAAAACGAGUUUAAAUAUCAAAUCUGAAUUGGUGGAUGGGUAUUGGAUGGUUCAAAGCGAAGGUGUGAUUGUCAGGUGUUUGAAUGGAUGGCUUCCAUGAAAAUAAUCGACUGCAUAGUUCCCAUGCACGUCGGGCAACGAGAAUCCUUGGAGACAUUGAUGAUGCUAUCAGUUUUAUAGCUUUAUUACUUAAGGGGGUAGGGAAAAUUAAUUCCCAUUCUUUAAGUCCCCUUAAUUGUAUAGCUCUUUUCCUAGAAUAGUGAUGCAGAUUUGCAUGAACAGCUAACUGUACCAUAGUGUUCAUUGAUACAAUCAUAGCAUUGUCUGGUUUUCUCUUCAUAUCUCUAUGGGGGGAGGGGAGCCGGGUGAAGAAGUCAAAGAUCGCGAUGGUAUGAUGCUUCUUUUCUUUAGCUGAUUUUGAGGGUUCUUAAAAAAUGGUGCAAGGUUGCGUAGCCCCUGGCCCAGGGAAGGUGACCAGGGCCAAGUGACCUCAUAGAAAGCUCUGUUGAGAGGAAGCAUGGCAUCUUGUACCACUGUCCUGACUUUCGCAACUCCUGAGCUCACUGUUGCCUGCUUCCCCAUCCCCCUCUUCUUAAGAGACAAUUUCUGGGAUUGGCGGGUGAGUAAGCCCAGGAGAAUGCUGCAGCCUCGGGGGUGGUUUUAUUUCUUUCUUUUUUGCCAAAUCGAGUGUGGAUUUGUUGUAGGGACUAGUUAAGCCAAGAAGCGGUGGUUUGGGGUCGCCGUUUGUGACGAGAGAAUGAUCCACACCACUCCCCCCAUCCCCGAGAGCAGACUGGUGCCUCGGGGUUGGGCCUCCAUGUGGAGGGACCAAAAUGCCAAACUUGCCCACCUGCCUCUGGGUAAGGCAACGGAAACACCAAACCUUUUGACUUUGCCAAAAACCCUACAACCAACCUGGUCAUACAUAGGAUGACAAAGUUCUUUCUGGUUGUUUUUUAAAUAAUAAAGCAAUAAGAACAAAUAAAAUACAUAGGAAGUUAAGAGAUAUAAAAUAAAGCACAAAGGAAUGCACUUAUUAAUAUUUUUUAAAAAUGCACUGGGGAAAAGUUGGUGUUGAUAACAGUAUAUUAAAAAAACCCUAUGUCUUGAAAAAAUGACAAAUGACUGUCUCUUGCGGACGCUUGGUACUGUAAUGUUAAUAAUAUAGUCACCUGCUGUUGGAUGCAGCAAUAAUUUCUGUAUGGUCCAUAGCACUGUAUAUUAUGGAUCGAUAUUAAUGUAUCCGAUGAAAUAAUUGAACUGUUGUUCUUGAUAGCCUCAUUAAAGCAUUUGGUUUUUCACAUAGUGGUGGCCAGUUUUUUUUAGUUACUUGACAAUCUUGAAUAUUGCUUGCCUUAUCAGGAAUGGUAGCACACGCUUUCUUCUGAUUUUACGAAUAACAAAUUGCAUGAGAAAUUUUAAAAUGCCAGUAAGUACUUUUUUGGUUUUAAAUGCCAUUCUAAGAUAUUACUUUUUGGUUUUAAACAUUUUUUGAUUAUGACUUGCACUCAGAUGAACUAUAAUUAUACAGCUUUUUUCCCCCUCUGAAUUUGGGGGAGAUUUUAAACUCCCAGAUGCCAAGAAUUCAUUUUACAUAUAGGAGUUUUAUUUAACAUGUUUUAGUGAGAGGUGGCUUUACAAAAAGAGAAAUUGUCGGAGAAGCCCUUGCAUAUUUACGAAAAAGAUACUGGGUUUUUAAAAUACAAAUUUACAAUAAUGAAAGCUUAAUAUACCCAGGUUGCCAGCUCCUGGCUGUAUUUUUUUUAAAUACAGCACUUAGGAAUCAUUUGAUAAAUGUUGGAUUUGACUUGGGAAGUGUCAGACAAAACAUGUCUUUAUUCCCCAGCUAGACCUUAAACUUCUGCCCUCUCUAAAACAUUUUCUGGUUUAACCUCUGGAGAAAAUGCGCAAGAAACUUCCUGUAAUGCUUCUGAUCUGAUUGUCAGCUUUUUCUUAAAUUUGAUUUUUUUCCCUUAAAUUGUAAUAUACAAUAAUCAAACCCUUUCUUUUGCAGAGUUAUUUGAAUUAUUUAUAUUUCCCAUAGAAAUGUGAUUGUGUGAUGCCUUAAAAACGUGUAAAAGUAGGAAGAUUUCCUCUCUGAACAAGAGGUUUUCUGGGCACCACCGAAAGCAGGUCUUUGGAGCCUAUUACCUAUCCCAGAUAUACUGGAAAGUAAUAUAACUAUACGCAAAUCCAAGCCCCACUCUUUGCCUGGAAAGAAAUGGUGAACAGAGGAACUUCGCUUCGGUGGGACAGAGGAAUUAGUUGGCUCAUAGGACCACACAGUUGAAAUGUGAUAUAAUGCUCUAGAUUUUAGCUCAGCUCAUAGCCGCAUUGCUGGGUUCCUUUUCUUUCAACUUCCCUUGCAACUCCAUGGGACCAGGUCGUUCAAUGCCAGAUGAUAAGAUGUGAACAGCCCUCCAUUCCUGGCCAGGAAAUAGUAGAUGUCCAGAUGACUAUGGCCAACCUGCCCCACCAGCCCUGGACCUUUCAUCUCUGGACUGUUGUGUGAAAAAGAAACAAACUUAUUUAAAGCAUGUAUUCUGAGAUUUUGUUGUAUAGUUGUAUUUGCAAAUACUGUAUACUAUAUGCGCUCUACAAUUAAAAGGAAGAAAUGUUUUCUCUCCUCUUUUUACUUUCCCUCCUCUUUUUCCUUCUCUUCUUCUUCAUCCUUUGCUUCAAUGACAUUAUUUUUAGGACUUUCACCCUUUCCUGCUGGCCUUCCUACUCAAGUCAUUUAAAUCAUUGAGUUGUUUUUUUUUCUUGCUUAAGCAAAACCAAAUUAAAUUCCCUUUGCAAAAGUUUGAAUGAGAAUCGUUGAGUAGAAUUUAAAA